AUGGCCCCUUUUGAACCCCUAUAAAAGCCCAUUUUAAAACCCUAAAGCCAUUCCCUUUCUCUGCCAUUUUUGUGGUGCGCCGCAACUCCUCUCAAAGUCCCCUUCUCUGCCGCUCCGACUCCGACCAGACAACGGCGAAAAGAGGCCUUCAAUCGCCUCCAAAAAACAGUACAAACGUGUGGCGUGCGCGAGUGCUGAACGUGGAGUGAUGUAGAGCUGGAGAUUGCUGCGACUUGGGGCGUUGUUGUGAGAGAAGAACGUGGGCAGUUGCGGCGCUGGCUUGCUAACUGCUAGGGUUUCUGAUUUUGUUUUGUUUGGGCCACUCUGUAAUUGGGUCACAAAAAAUGGGCUUUUAAUUCAGCUAUUGGGUCGGGGUGUUAUUGGGUUAAAAAUGGGUUUGUAAUUUAUUGUAUUUUUAUUUUAAGGUUUAUGUAUUUGGGCCCGGGCUAAAAUGGCCUAUUACAGCCCUAAUUUUAAUUA
This is a long non-coding RNA of Gossypium raimondii (Peruvian cotton), 480 nucleotides long. RefSeq lists it as uncharacterized. The record is from RefSeq and is a predicted model, not a curated record. The transcript has 2 exons. NCBI's taxonomy places the organism in Eukaryota, Viridiplantae, Streptophyta, Magnoliopsida, Malvales, Malvaceae.